This is a long non-coding RNA of Oncorhynchus keta (chum salmon), 215 nucleotides long. RefSeq lists it as uncharacterized. NCBI's taxonomy places the organism in Eukaryota, Metazoa, Chordata, Actinopteri, Salmoniformes, Salmonidae. The transcript has 3 exons. The record is from RefSeq and is a predicted model, not a curated record.
AGAGAGGGGUAAAAACGAGAGAGAGAGAGAGAGAGGUGUAAAAACGAGAGAGAGAGAGAGAGGGGUAAAAACGAGAGAGAGAGAGAGAGAGGUGUAAAAACGAGAGAGAGAGAGAGAGAGGUGUAAAAACGAGAGAGAGAGAGAGAGAGGUGUAAAAACGAGAGAGAGAGAGAGAGAGGUGUAAAAACGAGAGAGAGAGAGAGAGAGAGAGAGAG